Molecule: small nuclear RNA, 166 nt
Organism: Neogale vison (American mink)
Lineage: Eukaryota; Metazoa; Chordata; Mammalia; Carnivora; Mustelidae
Gene: U1
Rfam family: U1 spliceosomal RNA
About the family: U1 is a small nuclear RNA (snRNA) component of the spliceosome (involved in pre-mRNA splicing). Its 5' end forms complementary base pairs with the 5' splice junction, thus defining the 5' donor site of an intron.
Source: Ensembl
AUUCUGCUACCUGGCAGGGGAGAUACCAUGAUCACGGAGGUGGUUUUCCCAGGGCGAGGCUUAUCCAUUGCACUCCGGAUGUGCUGACCCCUGCGGUUUCCCCAAUUGUGGGAAACUCGACUGCAUAAUUUGUGGUAGUGGGGGACUGGGUUCGCGCUUUCCCCUG